CGGGGGGUGCGAGCGUUGUCCGGAAUCACUGGGCGUAAAGGGCGCGUAGGUGGCCUGAUAAGGGUGUGGUGAAAGUCCGGGGCUCAACCCCGGAUCUGCCGUGCCGACUGUUAGGCUGGAGUACUGUAGGGGCAGGCGGAAUUCCGGGUGUAGCGGUGGAAUGCGUAGAGAUCCGGAGGAAGACCGGUGGCGAAGGCGGCCUGCUGGGCAGUUACUGACACUGAGGCGCGACAGCGUGGGGAGCAAACAGGAUUAGAUACCCUGGUAGUCCACGCCGUAAACGAUGGGUACUAGGUGCCUGGGGGAGCGACCCCUUGGGUGCCGGCGCUAACGCAGGAAGUACCCCGCCUGGGGAGUACGGCCGCAAGGCUG
Molecule: ribosomal RNA, 372 nt
Filed under: uncultured organism
Description: bacterial SSU rRNA
Rfam family: Bacterial small subunit ribosomal RNA
Source: RNAcentral